This 505-nucleotide ribosomal RNA is filed under the name Cervidellus vexilliger. RNAcentral's name for it is "SSU rRNA". It matches the Rfam family "Eukaryotic small subunit ribosomal RNA", at positions 88 to 590 of the family's 1831-position model. Lineage: Eukaryota; Metazoa; Nematoda; Chromadorea; Rhabditida; Cephalobidae. The record is from RNAcentral.
CGCGAAUGGCUCAUUACAACAGCUAUAAUUCACUUGAUCUUGACACAAUCCUACUUGGAUAACUGUGGUAAUUCUAGAGCUAAUACAUGCAUUAAAGCUCUGACCUCACGGAAAGAGUGCAUUUAUUAGAACAAAACCAAGCGGCUUCGGCUGUUUCUGGUUGACUCAUAGUAACUGAGCUGAUCGCAUGGUCUUGCACCGGCGACGUGUCUUUCAAGUAUCUGCCGUAUCAACUUUCGAUGGUAGUGUAUCUGACUACCAUGGUGAUCACGCGUAACGGAGAAUAAGGGUUCGGCUCCGGAGAGUUCGCCUGAGAAAUCGCGAACACAUCUAAGGAAGGCAGCAGGCGCGAAAAUUACCCACUCUCAGCACGAGGAGGUAGUGACGAAAAAUAACGAGACCGUUCUCUUAUGAGGCCGGUCAUCGGAAUGGGUACAAUUUAAACCCUUUAACGAGUAUCUAUGAGAGGGCAAGUCUGGUGCCAGCAGCCGCGGUAAUUCCAGCU